Molecule: ribosomal RNA, 252 nt
Filed under: uncultured bacterium
Lineage: Bacteria
Description: partial 16S ribosomal RNA
Rfam family: Bacterial small subunit ribosomal RNA
Source: RNAcentral
ACGGAGGGAGCUAGCGUUGUUCGGAAUUACUGGGCGUAAAGCGCACGUAGGCGGCCUAUCAAGUCAGGGGUGAAAUCCCGGGGCUCAACCCCGGAACUGCCCUUGAAACUGGUAAGCUAGAAUCCUGGAGAGGCGAGUGGAAUUCCGAGUGUAGAGGUGAAAUUCGUAGAUAUUCGGAAGAACACCAGUGGCGAAGGCGACUCGCUGGACAGGUAUUGACGCUGAGGUGCGAAAGCGUGGGGAGCAAACAGG